UACAGAGGUCUCAAGCGUUGUUCGGAUUCAUUGGGCGUAAAGGGUGCGUAGGUGGCGUCGUAAGUCAGGGGUGAAAUCCUGGAGCUCAACUCCAGAACUGCCUUUGAUACUGGAAAGCUUGAGUUCGGGAGAGGUGAGUGGAACUGCGAGUGUAGAGGUGAAAUUCGUAGAUAUUCGCAAGAACACCAGUGGCGAAGGCGGCUCACUGGCCCGAUACUGACGCUGAGGUGCGAAAGCGUGGGGAGCAAACAGG
RNAcentral lists this ribosomal RNA (253 nucleotides) under uncultured bacterium. Its description in RNAcentral is "partial 16S ribosomal RNA". It matches the Rfam family "Bacterial small subunit ribosomal RNA", at positions 524 to 776 of the family's 1533-position model. The record is from RNAcentral.